This 217-nucleotide unclassified non-coding RNA is filed under the name uncultured fungus. Its description in RNAcentral is "sequence contains ITS1, 5.8S rRNA gene". Lineage: Eukaryota; Fungi. The record is from RNAcentral.
CAAAAUGCGCCCUGACACUUUUGUGUCGGUGGACAGCGAACUGCCACAGCAAGGUGGCAUGUUUGUCAACCCAUUGUGAACUUAUACCUUUUGCUUCGGCAGCACUCUCAGCGGGCAACCGCUGGAGAGGUAAGGCUGUCAGAGGCCCAUAUCAAAACCAGUUGAUGAAAUGUCAUGCUGUCUGAUAAACCACUUUUGAGAAAUCAAAUGUAUAUUA